Molecule: unclassified non-coding RNA, 302 nt
Filed under: Hevea brasiliensis (rubber tree)
Lineage: Eukaryota; Viridiplantae; Streptophyta; Magnoliopsida; Malpighiales; Euphorbiaceae
Source: RNAcentral
AUUCCAAAUGCAAAGGAGAAAUUCAGUUUUUACGCGGAGUAUGCCUGUAAGAAGGGUUGGCUCCAAGCUUCUUUUGGGUCAUAUGUUGCAGAUGCAUCCUCAACCCCAGCUGCAGCCACUUGAGAUGAGCAUAUAUCUUCUGCUAGUUUCUCUCAUGUCUGUUAUUGCUCAGUACCUCUUUGCACUGUUUAAUCGUCUCUAUGCUUCAGAGAUGGAUAGAUAGAUAUGGGAUGUUUGAAUUCCUUCUGAUGUUUCAGUGGUCAUCUGAUGGAGAUCCUUGUGACCCCAGCCAAUGUAUAAAG